CUUAGUUCAAUCACCUUUUUGGCAAGAAUUGGCAAAAAUGCUCCUUGAAGAUCACCCAUCCCAUCUCCCUUUACACCAAGUAACCUGCCUGUUCGAACAACCCUUCUAAUGAGGCGACGUACCACAUACCCUCUACCAAUAUUUGAUGGGUUGACACCAUCAGAUAUCAGAUAAACAACUGCACGCAUAUGAUCUCCUAUUAUUUUAAGCUUUGUUUUUGUAGAGUCACCUGCAAGAGCAUAUGAGACAUUGGCCAAUUCUGCAGCCUUCUCUAGGAUGGGAAAUAUUAAGUCUGUUUCAUAAUUAUUGGGGACCUUCUGCAGAAUCCUGGCCAUACGCUCUAAACCAAGUCCAGUAUCUAUAUUCUUUUGCUUCAAAGGCUCAAGGGAACCAUCAUCCUUCUUAUUGUAUUGCAUAAAAACAAGGUUGUAGAACUCUAUAAAUCUUGUAUCAUCUCCAAGAUCAACAUCAGAAGUGCCCCUCUCGGGAUGGAAAUCGUAAUAAAGUUCAGAGCAGGGACCACAGGGACCGGUAACUCCACUUGUCCAGAAGUUAUCAUCUUCUCCAAGUCUUUUUAUCCGCUCUUUAGGAAUACCUAGCUCAUCAUGCCAUAGUGCAAAAGUUUCAUCAUCAUCUUCG
This 639-nucleotide unclassified non-coding RNA is filed under the name Hevea brasiliensis (rubber tree). The record is from RNAcentral. Lineage: Eukaryota; Viridiplantae; Streptophyta; Magnoliopsida; Malpighiales; Euphorbiaceae.